GAUGAACGCUAGCGAUAGGCUUAACACAUGCAAGUCGAGGGGCAGCAUGGUCUUAGCUUGCUAAGACUGAUGGCGACCGGCGCACGGGUGCGUAACGCGUAUGCAACUUGCCUCACAGAGGGGGAUAACCCGUCGAAAGACGGACUAAUACCGCGUACACUCUAUUUUGGGCAUCCCAGGGAGAGGAAAUGAAAUUCGCUGUGAGAUAGGCAUGCGUCCCAUUAGCUAGUUGGUGAGGUAACGGCUCACCAAGGCGACGAUGGGUAGGGGAACUGAGAGGUUGAACCCCCACACUGGUACUGAGACACGGACCAGACUCCUACGGGAGGCAGCAGUGAGGAAUAUUGGUCAAUGGGCGAGAGCCUGAACCAGCCAAGUCGCGUGAAGGAUGACUGUCUUAUGGAUUGUAAACUUCUUUUGUAGGGGAAUAAAGAGGGGCACGUGUGCCCCAGUGAAUGUACCCUACGAAUAAGCAUCGGCUAACUCCGUG
Molecule: ribosomal RNA, 490 nt
Filed under: uncultured bacterium
Lineage: Bacteria
Description: partial 16S ribosomal RNA
Rfam family: Bacterial small subunit ribosomal RNA
Source: RNAcentral